RNAcentral lists this long non-coding RNA (1029 nucleotides) under Anas platyrhynchos platyrhynchos (common mallard). Its description in RNAcentral is "lncRNA (ENSAPLG00000026070.1)". Lineage: Eukaryota; Metazoa; Chordata; Aves; Anseriformes; Anatidae. The record is from RNAcentral.
UACCACAGGGGUCCCUGACAGCAUAUCUCAGUAGGGAAACAUGCUAAGCUCUCCUUUCAGCAGCAGCUCACUGGCAUAUCCCACAAGUGGCUAUUCUGCAGUCAGUGGUCAUCAUUUCAUCUAUAAUGCCUGUCUGAGCUCCUUGAAGCCAUCACUCAGAGGGAACACUUGCUGUGAUUCAAGUAGUCUGCAGUGUCACUGAGCAUACCCUGGCUGGCUGCUUAAGCAAAGGCAAAAGUUUUCCAGUUUCUCCUGGUGUGGGUCCGGAAAUCCGUUUUAUCAUGGAGAGAAUCCGUGUGCCUUGGCAGGUCUGCAGUUCAAACUUGAUCGCCCACCCAGAACUCCCUAUUGAAAUCCUCCAGGAGACUUGGCUGCUUCUGCAUGCACUCUACUGUCCCUUAAUUGAUUAAUAUUGCUUCAUUUAUAACAUUCUGUAGGCAGAGGUGACAUUUGUAUGGUUACGUUUGGAUGGUGUUUGAAAUAUUGCUGAGUACAGAAUGGCUAUCACAUUUGACAGCACAGUUAAAGCACUACCUGUAUUUUAUAUGCAAUUGUGAAAAGUGAUUUGGGGAUUUCUGAGUCUGAAAGCCAAAAAAUUCUUUCUUCAGUCUGUGUACAAAUUAAUUAUUUGGGGGGGGAGGACGGAGGAGGAGGGGUGUUUUGCAAGUUUUCACGUUUAUCUUUGAAAGUAACAGGCAGAAAAUGGACCUGGCAUAUGUUAGACAAGCUCUACUGCUUCGUAGGAGUCAUUCCCUGGAUUAUCACAGGUUUAGCAUAAUGACAUUUAUCGACCUGUAAAUAUAUGUUUAUGCAUAUGAACGUAUUGCAGUUGUUGAUGGAAGAACUGCAGAAACGUCACUGGCACUUUCCUGAUAAGUAGUAAGCAAUAGGUUGCUGUAUACUUUACUGGCAGGUGAAGAGCAGCUGUGCCUUGUGAUAAGUGUUUGGAUUGUUUUGAAUUCUUGCUUGUACGUGAACAAGGAAGUUUUUUGUAGAAAUCUCACCAUCAAAUCAUUGAAUUUGCCUUCA